This is a non-coding RNA of Odocoileus virginianus texanus, 938 nucleotides long. The record is from RefSeq and is a predicted model, not a curated record. Lineage: Eukaryota; Metazoa; Chordata; Mammalia; Artiodactyla; Cervidae.
GCGCCUGAGGCGGCGAGCGGCGGGGGCUGGCAGAGCAGGGUCAGCAGUGGAGGGCGCCUUGCCUUAGCCUCGCGGAGCUGGCCCGGCUCCGGCGUCCAGGCCUCGCGUUUGGAGGCGCAGAGUCUUCGCCGGUGAAUACCUGUUCCGGUCUCCGGGUGUGGCCACUAGUCGGGUUGCUCUGCUGUGUUCCAUCUCCUCCUAAAGAUGCAUCCUGACUUAUCUCCACACUUGCAUACUGAAGAAUGCAACGUCUUGAUUAACUUGCUUAAGGAAUGUCACAAAAAUCACAGCAUUCUGAAAUUUUUUGGUCAUUGCAAUGAUCUUGAUCGGGAGAUGAGAAAAUGCUUGAAGAAUGAGGUAUGUCUUCCCCUAAAGUCAAGAGGAGAAAUGAAAGCAUCUUCUGGGGACAGUUUUGGAACAUUGCUGAUUUUUUUGCAUGUACAUAAAUGAAAGCAAGUAUUUUAUAAUAAUCACUGUAACUCCUCUGGAUGAAUUUUAAGGUUUGAGAAGUUGAAUCUGUACAGCAGAAAGAAUUGUUGAUCAGCUUUUAGCUCUAGCAGUACAUGGAAAAGAGGAACAAGAGCAGGGAACUUGGCAACGCAAUGCGAAAGAGACUUUUUAAUCCUCCAGAGGAAUCUGAAAACUAGAUCUUAUUUUCACUGGAUGCCUUGCCUGAGAGAAGACCCAAAGACUCUUGGUUGGUAACUGAAGGAAUCCUGUUGCAUUUGGUCCCUAAAAUCCUUUGAAUGGAAAGUGACCCAUGAGAAAUCAAGCCUUGGAGAAGUAUGGAAGCCCUGGAUCUGGAAUGUUUGUCGGGCAGAGUUGUUUGUACCCUCCCUCCUCUACCAGCGCAUCUGAGACUUCUGUUUCUUCCCUUUGCCUAUGACCUGUUAACAUUUGAGUACCUUAACCUUCAAUAAAACCAUUGAUUCUAAUCA